CAGCAGCCGCGGUAAUACGUAGGGUGCGAGCGUUAAUCGGAAUUACUGGGCGUAAAGCGGGCGCAGACGGUUACUUAAGCAGGAUGUGAAAUCCCCGGGCUCAACCUGGGAACUGCGUUCUGAACUGGGUGACUAGAGUGUGUCAGAGGGAGGUAGAAUUCCACGUGUAGCAGUGAAAUGCGUAGAGAUGUGGAGGAAUACCGAUGGCGAAGGCAGCCUCCUGGGAUAACACUGACGUUCAUGCCCGAAAGCGUGGGUAGCAAACAGGAUUAGAUACCCCCGUAGUCCCUGUCUCUUAUAC
RNAcentral lists this ribosomal RNA (301 nucleotides) under uncultured bacterium. RNAcentral describes it as "partial 16S ribosomal RNA". It matches the Rfam family "Bacterial small subunit ribosomal RNA", at positions 509 to 807 of the family's 1533-position model. The record is from RNAcentral.